Molecule: ribosomal RNA, 443 nt
Filed under: Machimus gonatistes
Lineage: Eukaryota; Metazoa; Arthropoda; Insecta; Diptera; Asilidae
Description: partial small subunit ribosomal RNA
Source: RNAcentral
UUUUGAAAUUAUUAUAUGUCUGUUUUUAUUAACUUAUUUCAUAAAUUUUAGUUUUAAACUAGGAUUAGAUACCCUACUAUUAUAAUAUGUAUUUUUGUUAUGCCUAGGUAGUACUAGUUAUGGUCUUGAAACUUAAAAAAUUUGGCGGUAUUUUAGUCCCUUCAGAGGAACCUGUUCUGUAAUCGAUAGUCCGCGUUUUAUCUUACUUGGUCUUGUUUAUCAGUUUGUAUACCGCCGUUAUUGAGUAUUUUAUUAGAAUAAUAAUUCUCAAUUACUUUAAUAUUAAAGUUUAUAUCAGGUCAAGGUGCAGCUUAUGAUCAAGAAUGUAAUGGGUUACAAUAAUUUUAUUUAUAUGAAUAUUAGGAUAAAAUUCUUGAUUGAAAGUGGAUUUGAUAGUAAAAUUGUUUAGAAAGACGAUUUGAUUUUGGCUCUAGAAUAUGUAC